RNAcentral lists this ribosomal RNA (253 nucleotides) under uncultured bacterium. RNAcentral describes it as "partial 16S ribosomal RNA". It matches the Rfam family "Bacterial small subunit ribosomal RNA", at positions 524 to 776 of the family's 1533-position model. The record is from RNAcentral.
UACGGAGGGGGCUAGCGUUAUUCGGAAUUAUUGGGCGUAAAGGGCGUGUAGGCGGCUUCGUAAGUCUUGUGUGAAAGCCCUCGGCUCAACCGAGGAAUUGCACGAGAAACUGCGUGGCUCGAGUCCGGGAGAGGAUAGUGGAAUUCCCAGUGUAGCGGUGAAAUGCGUAGAUAUCAAGAGGAACACCUGAGGUGAAGACGGGUUGCUGGGCUGACACUGACGCUGAUGCGCGAAAGCCAGGGGAGCAAACGGG